RNAcentral lists this ribosomal RNA (3014 nucleotides) under Rhizophagus irregularis. RNAcentral describes it as "large subunit ribosomal RNA". It matches the Rfam family "Bacterial large subunit ribosomal RNA". Lineage: Eukaryota; Fungi; Glomeromycota; Glomeromycetes; Glomerales; Glomeraceae. The record is from RNAcentral.
AGCGAUCUGGAAUGUAAAACCAAGUAUAACAAAGGGGCUACUAGGGAUGACUAGGCAAUGGAUCGGAAUGAGGUCUAAUCCAAACUGUCGAAUCCGAUCAAGGGUAUGUUAAUCAACCCGGUCUCGACGAUCAAGGCCAAAAGGUGCCUCACUUACCUUGGGAACUGAAACAUCUUAUGUACCAAGAGGAAAGGAAAUCAACCGAGACUCUACAAGUAGUGGCGAGCGAACGUAGACAAGCUAUCUCUAUCAACUUAGACAACCUCUGUUUACGUUUAUGCGUAGCAGCAGGAAAAUGGUAGCCUUCGGACAAAGACAUAAACAAUAGCUUGGAAUAGCUAGCCACAGAUGGUGAUAGCCCAGUGAUGAUAUGACUUUGCUCCCUUUUGGCAGUGAAUUUAAUUCCUUAGAGAGAAUUGGCGGCUUGUCAAGCUGCUUUUAUAAUACCCUGUCUAUUAAGGCAGGAAAGGUGUACCAUCAUCAAAGCUAAGUAUGUUCCAUUGACCGAUAGUGCAGAGUACCGUGAGGGAAUGUUGAAAAAGCAGGUAGUAAACUGGUGAAAAGCCUGAACUAGUGGCUCCAUAAGCAGCUGGAAUCACAACAGCCAUUGACUCCAACUCAAUGUGUGAUGACAGCGUACCUUUUGUAUAAUGGGUUACCAACCAUCAGACCCGAACCCAGGUGAUCUUGCCAUGGCCAAGUGCUAUUUAAUAAGACUGAACGGGUGUCCGUUGCAAGGGACUCCGAAGAGCUGUGGCAAGGGGUGAAAAGCCAAUCUAACCUGGAGAUAGCUGGUCUUCUGCGAAACCCGUUUUAGCGGGUCGCCCAUUUAUUGAAAUUAAAUUCGUUACUAGACGGUACGGCACUGGAAGCCACGCAGCUUUUGCUGCAUAAUCGGGGGGCUGUCAUGGCUCUAUCGAUGGCUUCUAACCCCGGAAAUGUAUAGUAUACAAUGAUGGGCAAUCAGACGUAUCGUGAUAAGGCGAUUCGUCAAAAGGGCAACAGCCCAGAACAGGUGUGAAGGUCCCUAACAAGCUACUGAGUGAACACAAGGCAGUCCUCUCCAGUGUCUCUCCACAAAGUGGGCUUGGAAGCAGCCACCUUUUAGCGAUAGCGUAACAGCUCAGUGGUCUGAGCCUCCCUGUAAAAAGGGAAUAUUGCCUGGUGAGGGCGCCAAAAAUGUAACGGGUCUAUAGUAGUUGUCUCUCUGUUCCAGCUUUGGAUAUGGAGGGAGUGGCAGUUUCUUCACUGUCUCACCGAAACCCUGUCCUAGAUGUAAAAUUCUAGGGGUAGCAGAAUACCCAGCAAAUGGAAUGAAGCUUGCUCAUUGAGCCGGUGGACAUAGCUGGGCUAAGAAUGCUGACAUGAGUAGCCUAAAAGGAGGGUAAUUCCCUCUUCGCCGAAAGCAGAAGGGUUUCAUUUGUAAGGUCUAUACCUAGAUGAUUAAAGCAGCGGCCUCUAAGGUUCAGAGUAACAAAUUAGUUCCGAUGAGUAACUCUUCUAUAGGGCAGUAACCUUCCUUAUAAGUUUACCUUCAAGUAAUUAGAGGUAUACUUCAAAGAGUAAGGUUCGGGAAAGAGCCCUACAGAAUCAAUCUUAAAACCGUACCCUAAACCGACACAGGUCUGCAAGUAGAGCAUACUAAGGCGUAGAGAUAAUCGUCUUGAAGGAACUCGGCAAAAUGACCCCGUAACUUCGGGAGAAGGGGUGCCACUAAUAAGUGGCGGCACUAAACAGGGGGGCGCGACUGUUUACUUAAAACACCGGACUCUGCUAACACUAGCGUGGAUGUAUAGAGUCUGAUACCUGCCCGAUGCUAGAUGAUCAACUAAGCCGUUUUAGGAUGGCAAAGGAAGCUCUAGUCAAUGGCGGCUGUAACCUUGACGGUCCUAAGGUAGCGAAAUUCCUUGGCAUUUAAAUGAUGUCCCGCAUGAAAGGUGUUAACGAAGCUCCCACUGUCUCCAAGACGAGCUCGGCGAAAUUGAAUUAUCCGUGAAGAUGCGGAUUACCUCCAGCUAGACGAGAAGACCCUUUGAAGCUUGACUGCAACUAGUUAGUGUGUAACCGCUACUAAGGUACAAAGGGAGUCGACUAGACGAGAUACCUUGAUCUUUGUAGUAGGUUUCACUAUAAAUGCUGGCUAGUAGGCAGUUUGUCUGGGGCGGCAAUCCUCACCUAAAGUAACUGAGGAGUCCGAAGGUGUGCUUUGCUAGGUUGGAAACCUCUCUAUGGCUAUGGUGAGCCUAAAUAAGCGCAAUGGUAUAAGCAUGCUUGACUGUGAGACCUACAAGUCUAUCAGGUAAAACCCUUUCUAUUUACCCCUUCAUAUAUCAGGUCUCUCACGGCUAAAGUUAACCUUACCUUCUUUCUUAUUUCAUCACUUGUUAGCCUUGGUUCACAGUGCAGCGCACUUGUGGAACAAGUUUGUUUUGUUUAAAGUAGUAAAGGAAUGGAAGAAGGGGUAAUUAGGUAUAAAGGGUAUAGGUAACUAGGGCAUAGUGACCCGGUGAUACAUCAUGGAAUGUUCAUCGAUCAACGGAUAAAAGCUACUCAAGGGAUAACAGGCUGAUCCUCCACGAGAGUCCAUAUUGACUGGGGGGGUUGGCACCUCGAUGUCGGCUCAUCCUAUCCUAGAGCAGUAUAAGGUUCUAAGGGUUCGGCUGUUCGCCGAGUAAAAGGGUACGUGAGCUGGGUUAAGUACGACGCGAGUCAGUACGGCUUCUAUCUACUGGAGGGAGUUGGAAGUAAGGAGGAAGCAUUUUUAGUACGCGAGGACUUAAAUGGAGUGACCUCUGGUUUACCAGUUAUCAACAGCUAAUAAAGCUAUGGUAUGGCUGGAAAGCUACGUCACGAAUAGAUAACUGCUGAAACCAUAUCAAGCAGGAAACUACUCCUCUAUACUUCCUUUGAAACUUAGGGUAGACCACCCUAUUGAUAGGGCCUGGGUGUAAUAGCAGUAAUGCUUUUAGCCUCGGGUUACUAAUUGUUAAGCAACUUGGUUUUACCAGAUCGUU